UGGAAACGCCCUCCGUUUCUCAAUUAGUUGCUGGUUUUAGUAGAGAAAUCAGCUGCCAAAUUGGCCGUGCGUGCCAUUUUUGCUCACGAUAUUUAGCUGGUGAAUCAGUAGCUGAGUUAUUUUUGACACACUCAGCAUCAAGAAGAAGAAGGAGAAGGGGAAGAACCAAACUAAAAGCAAUGACGAAACUUCCACCGGGAGAAGAAAAGAAAAUAUAUAUAGGCCACCACUAACUAAACCCCACCUCCAUCCACCUUCCGGCGAAACCAAUUCCAUCCUCGCUUUCGCAAGACUCUUCCUUUCUCCCCUUUCCUUUCCCAACCCAUCGUCGCCCCGGCCCGAGGUAACNN
Molecule: long non-coding RNA, 350 nt
Filed under: Hordeum vulgare
Lineage: Eukaryota; Viridiplantae; Streptophyta; Magnoliopsida; Poales; Poaceae
Description: long non-coding RNA (HVUL_LNC002986)
Source: RNAcentral